CAGGAGAGAUCAGAUCAACAAGCAUGAAUACGUCAUUUCAAACCAUAUGGGUGUAAUCCAUAGUUAGUAAAUCGCCUAUUAAUCGGCGAUCUUUUAAAAAAAUCGGCAUUUUUUAUGAAAACAGUUUUAAACGGCGACCUUUUGAAAAGGUCGUGAAAAAAUGGCGUACUUUUCAUAAAAACGUUUAAAACGCGAUUUUUUUAUAAUUCGAUUUAAAUGAGGCCAAAAAAUCUUAUCUUUUUUUACCUAUAAAUUUUUUUUCCCUGUUUUGUGUAUUACAACCAUUGCUACUUUCAUGCUUUUGAAAAAAAAAUUUAUUUCAAAAAAAAAACCCAAAAUAGAAAUUUGUAUCGCCAUAGUGCUCUUCAAAGCCACAAUUGCAUAUUGAAAGUAUGAAUUUUUUCCUUUUUUUAAAAAAUUUAUACAAAGUUGUUAUUAUGGAAAAUCAUUAUGUAAAUGAUAUAAUACCGUUUAUAGCAAAUCAGUUCGUAAAGUAAAUCAUUGUAUAAACAAAAUCAUAUACAUGUAGAUUUUUGUUAUUAUUUGUGAUAAUUGUUUUUAUGAAAAUAAUGUUUAUGGCACAAAUUAGAGCUCAAAACAUAGUCUUUUAUUGAUGAAUGAGAAAAAGAAUGCUUAUGUGAUAACAAAGAUAAACAAUAUAGCGUAACCUGUAAACUUACAGGAGCAAGCCAUCCCCCAAAACUUCUUGUUUUCCCAACCAAAUGAAAAAACCUCUUCCUUUUCUCUCUGUAAAAAUCAGGGCCUCUUCACAAAUCAAAAAAUCAAUUAGGGCCUCUUCCCAAAUGAGUAUAACUAGGGCUUUCUCUCAAACAAGAACUCGAAUUAGGGCAUUCUCUCAAAAAAGACCUUAGUAUAAUUAGGGCUUUCUCUCAAACAACAACUCAAAUCAGAGAGAAAAAUCUUCUUCAAACUAUCCCAAAUCGGCAUCCUAUCUUCCUUCCUUUUUCUCUCUCAAAAAAUCAGUUAGGACCUCUUCCAUUAGGGUCUGUGAAGCCGAUGAGCUCUUCCUUCUUCCUUCUUCCUUCUUCUCUCUCUAUACUUCUUCCUUCUUCUCUCUCUAUAAACCAAAGCCGAUGAACUUUUCCUACUUCUUUCUUCUCUCUCUAUAAACCCUUGUGGCUAUGAGCCUCUUCCUUCAUCCAUCUUCUCUCUCUAAACCAUAAAUACAGAUGUGAA
Molecule: long non-coding RNA, 1197 nt
Filed under: Amborella trichopoda
Lineage: Eukaryota; Viridiplantae; Streptophyta; Magnoliopsida; Amborellales; Amborellaceae
Description: long non-coding RNA (ATRI_LNC001962)
Source: RNAcentral